AAGAAAGAUGCAUUGAAAAAAAUCACCCAAAACCUAAACAUGUAAUUAUGAUAAUUAUUUAAUUUUUAUAUCUAUGGGGGUUAUGAUUGGGCAGCAGUUGAUAGAUUGGUAUAACACAAUGCAUUAAUUUUAAUAAAUUGUGUACUCUGUAGACCUGUCUAUAGAUAAUACAUUAACAUGUAUUAGUUACUAGUUUUUGUUAUAAUUGGGCCAAAUACAUGUGAGGAGUGGGUGUUUUCUAGCCACAUCUUACUUCUUGACCCAACCAGAAACACAGUAGUUAAAACUCUCAACAUCAAGUGUAAUAGUUACAACCUGUUUUCUCAUGGGGAUGAGGGGAGGAACAUUAGGGCUAAUUUGUUCAAUUUUUGCUGUAAGCAUUCUCACCUCACUUGCAUUUCCAUAUUAUCAGAUGAGAGAAAGGUUAGGAAAAGGGGAAACUAUUUAGAGAACCAUAUGCAAAUGAGCAUUAGAAAAUAGAAUUCUAAGAGAUCGUUAUUUUAUAUUCAGAGCAUGUGUAUGCAUCACUGAAAGUAUAUCUCUAGGGAAUUCAACAAGUAGUCAUGUUUCUUGAAUGACAUUGUAGUCUUGUUUAUAUUUUUAAGGAUAUUGCGAUAAUAUCAUGUCUUAAAUAUUCAAGAAAGUAGGUACUAUAUCUACUAAAUAAAUCUCUGUAUGUGUUAGCAUACCUACUGAGACCCGUUAAAGGGAACACAGGUCCAUCAUCCAGGGACUCAAUACGUCCCUUAGUAGAUAAUCCCCAAUUACUGAAUGUAUUAUAAAGCUUGUUUCUUUUCCAGUUGUCCAUCUAAACAGCUAGACAUUCUAAAACUGUGUAGAUAAUUAUGUAAUUCUCUACAGGUGGAUUAAGAAUAUACAAAACAUUGCAAGUUUUGUCUGUAAAACUUUCAUUGGGGAAGAAAGUGGUUUGAUAAGUGGUUUUAUACUUUUUCAUUUAUACAUUUAGAACUUUAUCCAGCUGAACUUAAUGCACUUAAAAUAGACCAUCCUAAGGCUAGCCUUUCUCUUUACACUUGUACUCAGAUGGUGUUCGUAUUUCUCCAGAUCUGAGCCUUAAUUGUCUAUUGAAAUCAGCAAAAAAAAAAGAAAAGAGGGUUGGCAUUUUAAAAUCUUUCUUUAGGAAGUUUCCAUUGUGAUACAGCAGAAAUGAAUCUAACUAGUAUCCCUGAGGAUGCGGGUUCAAUCCCUGGCCUUGCUCAGUGGGUCGAGGACCUGGCGUGGCUGUGAGCUGUGGUGUACGUUGCAGAUGCAGCUCAGAGCCACAGCAACACUGCAUCGGAGCCGCGUCUGAGACCUACACCACAGCUCAUGGCAAUGCCAGAUCCUUAACCCACUGAGCAAGACCAGGGAUCAAACCCAAAACCUCAUGGUUCCUUGUCGGAUUCGUUUCCACUGUGCUACGAUGGAAACUCCUGAUUUCUGAUUUUGAAACACUUGUUUUGGGAAGUCAUAUUUCUGCUUUGUUGAUCUUCUAAUGACAAAAAGUGAGUGAAGGAUCACUCAGCCAUGUAUGGACUUACACAAGAUGAAGAGCAUAUUUAUACUGUGCUGAAUGCUAAAUGCCAUGGGUUACCAGAUGACUAUAAGCAUGAACCAUGACUGCAGCAAUGACCCUGAAAAGGCAUUACUGCCUACCAUCAUCAGAAAGUAGGAGAAAAAUGUGGUGAGUGUUGAGGAAGGAAUGAGGAAGUAUGGUGCAGAAGGAGAGAGAAGAGAGAUGAGAAAGAUUUAUUUGGAAAAUGACAAAAACGAUAGAAAUUUUUUGUUUAUUAUUUCACCAUCUUUUAAUUCAGCAGAUUCCUUGAUUAAGAAGUACUUCCUCAGCAUUGCUUUUUAUAAAUGUUACUGAAAAGCAAAAGGGAAAAUGUCUACUCUGUUUUAAUAAUAAAAACCCAAUUUCAGAAGAGAGAUAUCUUGAGAAGCACUAAUUUAGUGCAGACAUCCUAAAUGAGAGAUUGCUCAAUUCAUCAAGAAAUAAGAAAUAAAUACUGUUCUUUCCUAAAUGUGUAAGGCAAACAUAAAUAAUAAUAACACCUUCAUUCAUGUACUGCUAUUUAGAUGUUUAAUCUUGGCUUCUCAAGAACAUGCUACCUUUGUAAGAUUCAUUAAGGGGCAGUGUGUGCUGCCUGACAAAUAUGGUCAAAUAGCAUCAAGGGUCAUUAGGCCAUUCAAAGGUCAAAUGACAAGGGUCAUUAUUAAGUGGCCACCACCACAGAAGCUGAAGCUACGCUUCAGACACAGAUAAUUCAGCAGGACUUUGAAGAAUGUUAGAUGGGGUUAGAGACAUGAACAGAUUUAUGAUAUCAAGGUAACUUUGGAAGCAGUUUGGAGGAUUGGAAGAUGGAGAUUAAGAAUACAGGCAGAGAUGAAGUAAACCCAACAAAGACAGACAGGAUGCUGUCAGAAAGAAUACUUAGUUCUUCAAACAUCACAGCGGCCUCAGAUAAGCAAAAUCAAGCACAUUCACUUCAUAAACAGUCAGCCGUGGUCUGAAUUAAGGAAGGAUCUUUGGGGCAGAAGAAAAGUGAAGGAAGCAUGGCGGAUGUCUUUAGACAACAUUGGGAUGAAUGAAGGGUUUAGAUGUCUAUCUGGGGCAACCUUGUGGGUGGUGAGCCAAUUCACAGGGCCGUGGAAUAGGGGUGCCUGGCAAUUUCCUCGAGGAAGGUGCUAAAACCAGUCAGGGCCAUAUGGAACGUGAGGUAUCUGGAGAAGACCCAAGUAGAUGUCCUGGAACCAGAUGGAUGUUCAGACACAACAGAAGGGUUCAGCACUGCAUAUACAAAUUUGUGGAGCUGUCAGCUCGUUUGAUCUUUGGCUAUGGAUAAAAUUACCCAGAAAACAUGUCAAAGGUUGAGAACAGGAGCCUAGGGAUUUAAGAUAGUCUUAUUCUAGCUACUGUGCUUUGGAAGUGGCAGUGAUAACCCAAACCAACCUCGUGAUAUGGGAGGCUGAGGGGUAAAGCCUCCUCCAUUAUGAGUGUGUCACCUAGAGGCGUGGCUUCAUUGUUCUUCCAGAGCAGAGCUGGGACCAACCAGGGCAAGUUAAUGAGUGAGCUUUGAGCAUCAUAAAAGAGACCAAAUGAACAGCUGGAAUGCCACAACAGACAGACAGACAGACUGCCUUAGGAGGUAGUGAGCUUCCUAACAUGAAGCCAAAUGCCAGAUGAGCAGUUUCUGCGUUAGGAGGGAAGCAGAAUUCCAUGGCUUGUGCUGCUUCCUUCCACUCUCAGAUUCUGGAGUAAACUGUGUACCAUAACUGAAUGAUAUCUUGCAAACUUAAGUAUAACAAAGUGAGUGGAUUGUUCCUAUUAGAAGGUCGCAAGUUGUUUUUGAAAAAUAAAUAUAAAACUGAUGUGGGUGUUUCAGACAUUUUCAUUUUCUGUCUGUAUUUACCUCCAUCACCCCAUUCAUCUGAUUUUUCUCCUCUCUCUUCCUGUCGUUCUUCAUAAAGACACAUCAGUAACUCAGUUUUUGUCAUGGAAAGAUGUCAAAG
This 3513-nucleotide long non-coding RNA is filed under the name Sus scrofa (pig). RNAcentral's name for it is "lncRNA (ENSSSCG00035077588.1, ENSSSCG00055021870.1)". Lineage: Eukaryota; Metazoa; Chordata; Mammalia; Artiodactyla; Suidae. The record is from RNAcentral.